This 74-nucleotide transfer RNA is filed under the name Candidatus Bathyarchaeota archaeon. RNAcentral describes it as "tRNA-Thr". It matches the Rfam family "tRNA". Rfam says of the family: Transfer RNA (tRNA) molecules are approximately 80 nucleotides in length. Their secondary structure includes four short double-helical elements and three loops (D, anti-codon, and T loops). Further hydrogen bonds mediate the characteristic L-shaped molecular structure. tRNAs have two regions of fundamental functional importance: the anti-codon, which is responsible for specific mRNA codon recognition, and the 3' end, to which the tRNAs corresponding amino acid is attached (by aminoacyl-tRNA synthetases). tRNAs cope with the degeneracy of the genetic code in two manners: having more than one tRNA (with a specific anti-codon) for a particular amino acid; and 'wobble' base-pairing, i.e. permitting non-standard base-pairing at the 3rd anti-codon position. Lineage: Archaea; Thermoproteati; Candidatus Bathyarchaeota. The record is from RNAcentral. RNAcentral also lists the same sequence under 3 other names.
GCCUCGGUAGCUCAGCCUGGUAGAGCGACAGCCUCGUAAGCUGUAGGUCCCGGGAUCAAAGCCCGGCCGAGGCU